This 513-nucleotide ribosomal RNA is filed under the name uncultured bacterium. RNAcentral's name for it is "partial 16S ribosomal RNA". It matches the Rfam family "Bacterial small subunit ribosomal RNA", at positions 28 to 523 of the family's 1533-position model. The record is from RNAcentral.
GAUGAACGCUGGCGGCGUGCCUAAUACAUGCAAGUCGAACGCACAGCGAAAGGUGCUUGCACCUUUCAAGUGAGUGGCGAACGGGUGAGUAACACGUGGACAACCUGCCUCAAGGCUGGGGAUAACAUUUGGAAACAGAUGCUAAUACCGAAUAAAACUCAGUGUCGCAUGACACAAAGUUAAAAGGCGCUUUGGCGUCACCUAGAGAUGGAUCCGCGGUGCAUUAGUUAGUUGGUGGGGUAAAGGCCUACCAAGACAAUGAUGCAUAGCCGGGUUGAGAGACGGAUCGGGCAGAUGGGGACUGAGACACGGCCCAAACUCCUACGGGAGGCCGCAGUAGGGAAUCUUCCACAAUGGGCGAAAGCCUGAUGGAGCAACGCCGCGUGUGUGAUGAAGGCUUUCGGGUCGUAAAGCACUGUUGUAUGGGAAGAACAGCUAGAAUAGGGAAUGAUUUUAGUUUGACGGUACCAUACCAGAAAGGGACGGCUAAAUACGUGCCAGCCGCCGCAGUAA